RNAcentral lists this ribosomal RNA (233 nucleotides) under uncultured bacterium. RNAcentral's name for it is "partial 16S ribosomal RNA". It matches the Rfam family "Bacterial small subunit ribosomal RNA", at positions 109 to 334 of the family's 1533-position model. The record is from RNAcentral.
AGUAUCGCGUGGGUAAUCUACCUUGUAGUUGGGGAUAAUACUGCGAAAGUGGUGCUAAUACCGAAUGUGGUUUAGCGGUCUUCGGACUGCUUAACUAAAGGUGGCGUAAGCUGCCGCUAUAAGAUGAGCCUGCGUCCUAUUAGCUUGUUGGUGGGGUAAUGGCCUACCAAGGCGAUGAUGGGUAGCCGACCUGAGAGGGUGACCGGCCACAUUGGGACUGAGAUGCGGCCCAG